CUACGGGGUGCUGCAGUGGGGAAUAUUGCACAAUGGGCGCAAGCCUGAUGCAGCCAUGCCGCGUGUAUGAAGAAGGCCUUCGGGUUGUAAAGUACUUUCAGCGGGGAGGAAGGGAGUAAAGUUAAUACCUUUGCUCAUUGACGUUACCCGCAGAAGAAGCACCGGCUAAGUCCGUGCCAGCAGCCGCGGUAAUACGGAGGGUGCAAGCGUUAAUCGGAAUUACUGGGCGUAAAGCGCACGCAGGCGGUUUGUUAAGUCAGAUGUGAAAUCCCCGGGCUCAACCUGGGAACUGCAUCUGAUACUGGCAAGCUUGAGUCUCGUAGAGGGGGGUAGAAUUCCAGGUGUAGCGGUGAAAUGCGUAGAGAUCUGGAGGAAUACCGGUGGCGAAGGCGGCCCCCUGGACGAAGACUGACGCUCAGGUGCGAAAGCGUGGGGAGCAAACAGGAUUAGAUACCCGCGUAGUC
RNAcentral lists this ribosomal RNA (464 nucleotides) under uncultured bacterium. Its description in RNAcentral is "partial 16S ribosomal RNA". It matches the Rfam family "Bacterial small subunit ribosomal RNA", at positions 339 to 795 of the family's 1533-position model. The record is from RNAcentral.